RNAcentral lists this long non-coding RNA (207 nucleotides) under Elaeis guineensis (African oil palm). RNAcentral describes it as "long non-coding RNA (EGUI_LNC021843)". The record is from RNAcentral. Lineage: Eukaryota; Viridiplantae; Streptophyta; Magnoliopsida; Arecales; Arecaceae.
AGUGAGGUGAUCAUACCAAUACUAAUGCAUCAGAUCUCAUCAAAUAAGUCUAAGAAGUGCAAAAUAGCAGCUUUUGAUCAGAUGGUAUGAUCCCUUGCCACUUAAGGCAGGGGGCUAGGGUUCAACUCUAAAGAAUGUUGAUACUUGUUCAUCUUUAUUACUCGAUGUUUUUUUUGGAUCUUAUUCGACCUAACGUAGGCACAAGGA